Molecule: small nucleolar RNA, 72 nt
Organism: Impatiens glandulifera
Lineage: Eukaryota; Viridiplantae; Streptophyta; Magnoliopsida; Ericales; Balsaminaceae
Product: small nucleolar RNA snoR60
Exons: 1
Source: RefSeq, a predicted model, not a curated record
UAGUAUGUGAUGAUUCACUCGGAUUCCCCUUCAGGACAUUAUGGAUGAUGCAUAAACCGAGUCUCUGAUGCU